Arabidopsis thaliana (thale cress) is the source of this 202-nucleotide long non-coding RNA. RefSeq annotates it as other RNA. The transcript has a single exon. NCBI's taxonomy places the organism in Eukaryota, Viridiplantae, Streptophyta, Magnoliopsida, Brassicales, Brassicaceae. The record is from RefSeq.
UAAUGGGGUGGUAGGUCAGGUGCCACUCAGAGUAAUACAAUGAUACGUGGCAAAGCCUAAGCAUGUGUUCUCAACUCCCGCCAAUUAAUUACGGGUCGAACGGACCGGAAAAUCAGUUCAUCGCUUUAACCUCAGAAUUUUCAGACAAAAACAAAUAAAUAGCUUUACUUUUGUAACUACCACGUUCAUUUACCUCUCGGAG